Molecule: transfer RNA, 94 nt
Filed under: Gossypium hirsutum (cotton)
Lineage: Eukaryota; Viridiplantae; Streptophyta; Magnoliopsida; Malvales; Malvaceae
Rfam family: tRNA
About the family: Transfer RNA (tRNA) molecules are approximately 80 nucleotides in length. Their secondary structure includes four short double-helical elements and three loops (D, anti-codon, and T loops).
Source: Rfam by way of RNAcentral
GUCGUUGUAGUAUAGUGGUUAGUUUUCCCGCCUGUCACGGUUGUUUUCCCCGCCUGUCACGCGGGUGACCCGGGUUCGAUCCCCGGCAACGGCG